This 494-nucleotide ribosomal RNA is filed under the name uncultured bacterium. Its description in RNAcentral is "partial 16S ribosomal RNA". It matches the Rfam family "Bacterial small subunit ribosomal RNA", at positions 28 to 507 of the family's 1533-position model. The record is from RNAcentral.
GACGAACGCUGGCGGCGUGCUUAACACAUGCAAGUCGAACGGAAAGGCCUGCUUUCCCUUGUGGAUUGCGGGUACUCGAGUGGCGAACGGGUGAGUAACACGUGAGUGAUCUGCCCCCAACUUGGGUAUAAGCCUGGGAAACUGGGUCUAAUUCCCGAUAGGACUGCAGGGUGGUGCCUGUGGUGGAAAACGAUUUUCUAGUGGUUGGGGAUGAGCUCGCGGCCUAUCAGCUUGUUGGUGGGGUAAUGGCCUACCAAGGCGGCGACGGGUAGCCGGCCUGAGAGGGUGGACGGCCACAUUGGGACUGAGAUACGACCCAGACUCCUACGGGAGGCAGCAGUGGGGAAUAUUGCACAAUGGGCGGAAGCCUGAUGCAGCGACGCCGCGUGGGGGAUGGCGGCCUUCGGGUUGUAAACUCCUUUCGACCGCGAGGAAGCCACCUGGUUGGAAGGGUGGUGACGGUAGUGGUAGAAGAAGCACCGGCUAACUACGUG